Long non-coding RNA from Brassica rapa (field mustard), 12313 nucleotides. RefSeq lists it as uncharacterized. The record is from RefSeq and is a predicted model, not a curated record. NCBI's taxonomy places the organism in Eukaryota, Viridiplantae, Streptophyta, Magnoliopsida, Brassicales, Brassicaceae.
AUCGACAGCUGACUAAAGAUACACUUGUGUAUCCAUAAUGAAGGGGGGAUGGGAUCCUACUUAGGAAUUCCAGAGGAUAUUAGUGGAUCCAAGUGUAGGCUAUUUGUGUUCUUGAAAGAAAAACUACUACACAGAGUGAAUGGAUGGACGGGUAGAUAUGGCUAUCAAAAGGUGGAAAAGAAGUUCUAAUAAAAUCUAUCCUGUUAGCUCUUCCGACAUAUGUCAUGUCCAGUUUCCUACUCCCUUUGGAGAUAUGUGAAAACCUUGCGAAUGCCAUCGCACAAUUCUGGUGGAGUUCAAAUUCACCAAAGCAUGGGAUCCACUGGGCUAAAUGGGAGAAGAUGUGUGCCCCUAGAGAGGAGGGAGGUAUUGGUUUUCGCAUGAUCCACGAAUUUAACCUUGCCCUUCUGGCGAAACAGCUUUGGCGUCUUGUACUAUUCCCAGAUUCACUAGUGGCGAGAGUUCUUCGGGGAAGAUACUAUCGAUUGAGUUUGCCUUUGCGAAUCGGUGCAGUGGAUAGUCCAUCGUAUGUGUGGAUGAGUUUCAUACCGGCAAGAAAACUUUUACUCUUGGGCAUCAUGAGUAAAGUGCACCCAAAUUAAUGUUUGGCAAGAUCCAUGGAUUCAUUCGAUUCCAGCAAGACCGGCGCGCCCCAGAGCCCCAUUAUUUAAUCCAAAGAUGUUAGUCAGUAAUCUUAUCGAUUUUGAAUCAAAGGAGUGGGAUACUCGGAUACUAGAUCAAUAUGUAGAACGAGAGGAUAUAUCUAUUAUUUAGAGUCUGGCCAUAAGCCCUACUCAUCGACGCGAUACUUUUUGUUGGAGCUACACCAAAAAUGGACAAUAUACUGUAAAAUCAGGAUAUUGGGUAGCUACAAAUAUUCUGAGAGAUGUGGAGGAAAAAGAAGUUGUUGAGCCCAACAUAAGCAAACUUCAAGCCUUUUCUUGGAAAGUCAAUGCACCACAAAUGAUUUGUCAUCUUAUAUGACAGUUUAUUGCUGGGCAGGUAGCUGUCACAAGGAAUCUGGUAUGUCGCAAUAUGCGAUGUGAUAACUACUACCCAAGAUGUGGAGAGCCGGAAGAGACGGCUACUCAUGCGAUCUUUGAAUGCCCACCGGCAAUACAAGCAUGGGAACUGUCAUCAACACCGUCUAGCUCUCAGACUUUCCCUACUGAGAGUAUCUACACUAACAUGGAUUAUCUCUUUUGGAGGAAGAAUAGUAUUAUGGAAGCACAAAAUUAUAGAGACCCAUAUCCUUGGAUAAUUUGGUACAUAUGGAAAGCAAGGAACGAUAAGCUGUUCAGAGGUAUAGAUAGGGACCCCUUGGAGUUAGUCAGAUACGCAGAGAGUGAGUGUCAUGCAUAGUAUAGUGCAAAGGAAUCUAUACCUGCUCCUCCACAGACACAAAUGGUUGAAGAAACACAUGCCUUAAGCUUGGAAACAUCUGUAUGGUUGAUGGUUCAUGGACCUCUACAGAUCAAUUCAGUGGACUUGGAUGGGUAUGGAAGGAUGACAGAGGGAAGAUGCAACUAAUGGGAACAAGGAACUUAAGGAGGCGCGAAACGUCACUCCACUCUGAACUGGAAGCAUUAAGAUGGGCAAUGUAGAGCAUGCUACAGCACUCGACAUGUCAGAAAUUUGGAACGGAUUGCAAGGACCUGAUUGCAAUAAUGAAUGAUCCACAAGCAUGGCCAAACUUCUCAGCUGAGCUGGAGGCCAUUCAAAUUCUCAAGAUGCAUUUUCCGAACUUCAAAAUUCAAUACUUCCCAAGGGUGCAAAAUGGAAUUGCUGACUUGUUACCCGUUCUUUUCAUAGAUCGUUGUGUUUUGUUGGUAUUUAUAUUCCGGUCUGGUUAUCCAAACCACUUCAAAUUUGAGUAAUAGAAUAGCCGUUUGUUGCCAAAAAAGAAAAAAAAAACAGAAAACGUAUGCGCACCCGAACGCUCACGGCAAUGAUGUCUUUUGACAAUUUCCCGUUUCACAAAGAAAAAGAAAAAAAAAAGAAAUUUGAAAAAUCAUUUAGUUCCAUAACAUCAGUAAAAGAGUUUAGCGAAACAAUACACCCGAGACUCCACGUAUCCAACAACGUUCAAUGUUAUUGACAAUACCUUUUUUUAAUAUAUAAUUUUAUUUAUUUCAUCCUAAAACAUACAAUACAAAAUUAUACAACCAAAUCAUACAUGGAAAUCAGUGCCGUACCGUGCCGUGCCGUGCGUGCCUUAUAGGAAAAGAAAUUUUCGCUUAGGGCAUCAUUUUUUCAUAAUGCAUCGAAUAAAGUCUUUAGUUGUGUUAUUGGCCACGGUUAAGUAUUCAUACUAUUCAUUUUUAUAUGCUGGUGUAUUUAAAUAAACUAGGGCAUUGCCUCCAAGCUCUUGGCGCGGAGUUGUGGAUAUAGUUCUUGAUUCGUCUUAAUAUUUGUUAGAGUUAUUGUAGUUCUGAAUUUUGCGUUUUGGGUUGAUCAUUAUUUUUUAAGUAUUUUAUUGUUAUAGGGUUAGAGUUGUGAUGAUGAACUGUGUAUGCAAUGUUCUUCACUCAUGAAAGACUAAACUGUGUUAAUAAUGUGAUUGAUAUAGUUUGUGGUGUUGGAGACUUAUUGUUUGUUUGUUUUUAAUUUGUUACUUGUACUGUUGAGAUUACAUAAAUUAUAUUAACGUUAUCGAGAGUACUUUUGUUUCUGAAUAUUUUUUCUCCAGUCUAGUUGUGUAAGUUGUGUAUAUUAAGUAAUAUUAUUUUAUUCUUAUUAUGUUGAUUAUAUGCUUUUUUUAAUUUUAAACUUGUUUCUUUUAUCGGACCUUUAAAACAAAUACAUGAAGACUUGUAGAAAUAACUAUAAAAUGAGUGACAAUUAGUAUUUGGGCCAUAAUGGCUUUUAAACGAAUAUAUGUAUUUUUCAUAAGAAGACAAUAGCUUUGGUCUGUUGACAUUGAGCAUGUAAGCUAUUUUCAUAAGAUAAGAGGAGUGAGCAAGUGGAGAUGUUCUUGCCUCCUUUGUGUCUGUUGGGAUUGUGUCUUGUAUCUCCUGGUGUGACUGUGUUUGUUUCUCUUUUGUUUGAUGGGUAAUAUGUAAACAAAAAUCAUUGUUAUUUGUAUUUAUCAGAGUUUGUAACUUAAUCUGCUUUUUUGUUUAAGUAAUUUUACUGAUCUUGGUAGUUUGUAAAUUGUUAAAUAGCUGGCCGUGUAGUUUGUAUUUGUUUAGUUGGCUCAAUUUAUGUGUCAUUGAGUUUUUGUUGAGUUUGAUUGGUUUGGUAUACUUAUUUUGAAGUUUAUUUGUAAGACUAGACAAAAAGAGAGGUGAUCAUUAAUGAUGCAUCUUUUUUGAGAUUCUAGUUUUUGGUGUUUUGAUUGUUUGGGUUAUUGUGAUUUCUUUUAAGCUGUAAAAUAAAGAUUUAUGUAAAAUUAGAUUGAUAAGUAAGGGAGAUAAAUAGACGACCACAAAUCUUGGGUAUGAAAUAUUUUUUAUUAUUGAUGUUAGCACAAUAUAGACAAUAAUAUAAAGGAAAUUAUGUGUUUAUUUUUUCUUACGGAUCAAUGAAGAGACGAAUAACGACUCGAGUUGUUUCUUUGGUGAGGUUAGUGCCCUGGACAUAACAUAUUUGCCCAACCACAUCUGCGAGUUUAAAUAUCAGUUAUGAUAUCAAAACAUAAUAUAAACCCAGAUGCAACAUGAUAAUAUACCUGGGAGUUCUAGGUUUUUGUUCGCAAUCACUUGGAGAUUGUCGAACAGUCGAAUCUUGACUGGAGAUAGAUCUCCGGAGCACCUGUGAUGACUUCAACAAUAAUGGUUAGUGAGAUAAAACAAAUUAGGAAUGGAUGAUCAGUUAUCUUGUACAUGCUUGAGCACCUAGCAACCUCAAAACGAUCGACUUUCACAAUGGAACCUGCUUUCAAAAGAUGACAUGUAAGGAUUAGCACGUGCGACGGGAGUAAACCCAUGAAUCACGGAAUCUGUAAAUAAUAUUAUUCAACAAAGAGUCAGGAAAUCAAUUAAAACAGAUAUGUUAAAUAAGUGUGAUAGAUCGAAGAUUAACUUACGUUUUCAUCAAGGAAGAGAACCGUGAUUCCGACAAACUCCCUGUCUUUCUUGAAGUUCAUGGAAUCCCAGAAGCGAGGAAGCCAGAGGCUAUGCUCUGACUACUACGACCAAGACGGAGAUACUCGAAGGUUGCGUGACGGACGCCGGAACGCCGGUUUGACGAACUGGAGAGGCAGAGAGAAACAUUUUCUAGAAGAUGGUUAAAUCUAAGAGGAAUCAAUGAGUUUUGUGCAUAUGCAGAUUGGAUCAUCAAAGAUGAGAAUCAUAUAUAUGGGGUUUACAGAGGGGCUACAAAUCAGGAACAUUUAUGAUCAAAUGAUUUAAGAUGUGGACAUGAAGAGCUCACCGGUGAAAGAAUAUAUUACGAACAGAUAAAGGCACAACUUUGUAACUCAGACUUGUUUGAGACAAUGUUGAAAAGAACUUAAACUCAUGUUAAACGACAACAGUUUACAAUAUGGGAAAACUAGAUUAUGGGGGAGAAAAUUUUAAUUUUUCUCGGUUUAUUUAAUUAUGGGGGAGUGAGAGAUAAAACAAUGUUCCUGGUUUUUGUGGUUUUGGUUUUAUGUUUAUCUCUAACUCUUGAACUUUCAUAUUUUGAACCUUCAUUUCAGUUUAAUGCACAUAUUAUUCAGGAUAUAUGUGUUCGAAUGUGUGUGGUUGUUUGAGUGGAUCUGUGCAGGUACUUGAGAGGCAUCCAAACUAAAAGGGGGAGAUUGUAGAUGCAAAGAUCAGAUAGAUGUUCUGAUACAGACGCAAGUACAUCAGUGAAUAGAGCAGAGUCUGUAACAGAGAAGUGUACGUGCGGAUGAACAAGUCAAGAUGAAGAUUGCGACUUGAAGAAUGGAAUGCGGACCAAGGCGAAGUUAAUACGAAGACAUCUUGGGGAGCAAGCUUAAAGAGAUUCACCUUGGAGAAGGGAGAUCUCACGAUGGGAAGUUUCUUAAAGACUUUGGACAGGUUUUAGGGUUGCCUUAUUUGGGUAGAUAGUGAAUAUUGGAUAGAUAGGCGUGGAUAGCCGACUUGGCUGUAUUGUAUAUAUAGUCAUACUCGACAUGUGGAUUAGGGAGAAUUGUAUUCUUAGCAUAAGAGUGGAGUUCACUAAGCUUGUAAGCGAGUGAAUAACACUAAGGGCUAAGGGGUAGAGGUUCUAGAGAUCUUGUAUUCAAUCUUAGGACGUGUGAGGCUAGGGGAGCAAGUCAAGAAGGGUCUUGAUCUUGUUCGGGUUCUGUUUAAAGAGAGACUUGUAAGUUCACUUUAAAAGAAUACUAGUAAUAACACAUAUCUUUGUAAAGAUAUUUUCUGGUGUACUCUCUGCUUUACUUUGUGGGUUAGUUCUUGCAUUUACAUUGGCCACCUCUAGUAAUAACUCAUACGGUUAAACUAUUAUAUACUUUUGUUUUAAAUCUAUUUGUUUUAACUGAGACAAAUAAUAAAUAAUUAAAAAUAAUAAUGCUUUACAUAAUUAGAAGUUUACAAGUUACUUUAUUCAUAUUUCGGUGGUUAUCACUUCUGAGUGUAAUAUUAUUCUUUCUCAAUAUUUAUCUCAAAUUUGUGUUUAGUCUAUAAAUAUUUUAAGUUUGUAUAGUAAUGCUUUUAUCUUCGUUUGAAAAUCAAUUAAAAAUAUUGAGUUACUUAAUUAUUUUAUCUAUGCAAAAUAAUAACAAUGGAAAUUUUAAAAUAUUUUUUUCUUAUUUUCAAAUUUGUUUAUACUUUUUCCUAGCAUAAAUAGAAAUUUGUUAUAGUUUAGAACUAUUUUUUUGCUUAUUUAAUUAUUAGUUGUUUGUAAUGUAAUGAUGCUGUUUUUUUGUCAAUAAUAAUAUUAUUUAAUAAUUUUGAUGUAUUUUUGAAAAAUGAUUUUAUUUUUUUAUUUUUUGUUUCGGGCAGCUAUAAAAGCUCGCACGACUCUGAUGGAAAUGAAUAAACCCCAUACAACUAUCAUAAGCAGAUUUGAAAUUCGGAUUACGCAAACAAAUUACUAUGAAGCGCUUGAAAGGAAGGAUAGGUAAAGUGAAGAAGAUCCUAGCCUGAGGAACUCCUUUACCAGAGCAAACCUUCUUCACAAGAAAGAUUGGUUGAAAUGGAAAUAAUUUGCCUUUUGGACUCAGUACCUGCAUGUAAUGAGGAGGAACCAUCCUGUUCAGAUUGAUCAAACAAUCCAAGUAUUGGGACCGUCGCAGAGAGAGAGAGAGAGAGGAAGAAACACUUCAAAGACCCUUGCACCUAGCACAUUCUGGCGCUUUAUAAAAACUAGAGAGAAUUUUUACAAUCGCCCAAAAAAAACCACAAAUUACAAAACAGAUUGCAGACACGGAGAACACACAAAGAAGACACAUGAAUGCACUGUGCAGAUCAGUUAAUGAACUCACUAGAAGAUAACACCGAAGAAUUGAAAAGUGUGACAACCCAUCCCGCUCACUCGGAACCCAGCUCACAGCCUUGCAUGGCACCGACCCUAACCACUCAUCAUGGGAGGAAACGCAUCCACAUCCACCGGAAGGUUAUUUGUGCGCUUGGCGUUACUCGAUCCCAAGACUUCACCCUUUAACAACACUCCUCUAGGAUGAGUUGUCACCAAUUGAUCUGCAGAUCAAUUGGUGAAAACUCAUCCUAGAGGAGUGUUGUUAAGCGAUUUUUGGUGAAAACUCAUCCUAGAGGAGUGUUGUUAAGCGAUUUUUUUUUGUGACAACCCGUCCCGCUCACUCAAAACCCAGCUCACAGCCCUGCAGGGCACCGAACUUAACCCCUCACCGUGGGAAAAAAUGCCUCCACAUCCAACGGUAGGUUAUUGGUGCGCUUGGCGUUACUUGUGAGUGAGGCCAAAUCACGGGGAAAUUCAAGCAUGAUUGGGCUGGAGUAGUGAAAGUAUCACACCCAUAUCUUGCUUAACCGAGACGGCAUGAAUUCACAUUGCCUUCAUCAACAAGAAACACUCAAAAGGCCAAUGCAAAUCUCAUUCCCAAGGAUCGAAUCCAAAUGUCUUACAAAAUCGUACUAAAACGAAUAGGAAACGCUUAAAACCAAAUCACCAAGUCUUAAAAUGAAAUAACUUAAAUAAAACCAAACAACCCGAAAACCAGCAUCACACCGAGAUGACCACUCCUGCACUUCCUCGAACUCACCUGAAAAAGAAAGGAGGGCUGAGUAUUUCGACAAAUACUCAGUGAGGGAAGCUCUAGGAGCCCCGAAAUCAAUCACCAACAAUCAUCACACAACAUAGCUUAAGCAUCUAACUUAAACAUUCAGUAAAUCGAAAGCAAUCAACAAGAAACGAGGAUAAACCCCGACGGUGCCAACAUGAGACUAACGCCACAUCACGCUGUCUCCACGCCUCUCAUGUUGUCGUGUGAGAACUUGCCACAUCACACUGUCUCCGUGAGUUCCACACCUUCACGCGAUCACGCCACAUCACGCUGUCUCCACGUGAUCCGGGCCACCACAUUCACACGGUCACGCCACAUCACGCUGUCUCCACGUGAUCCGUGUUACUACAUCUUUACUUCACAUACAGGCACGGCGCAUGUCCGCUCUGGCGAUGAAUCAUGCCAACUCAAACGAUUGCCACAUGACCCAACAAGAAACGAUGUAACGCCCGAGACAUACAUAUAUGUCAUUCCACCACGUUACACCGGCACACAUAGGCCUUACGCCUUUCUCUAACUCGUUUACAUCUCCCAAUUAUAUAGAUAUCAUACUCUUAUACAAUAACCCCAAUCAAUACAAUCAUCACAUUCAAUCCUCAAACAUCAUUCAACCAUAUUUUAACAACCUUAGCAAUAGAUCUAUGUUUUUCACACAUCAAGCAUCAAGAUAUUUAUAUUUAUCAUAUGUAUAUUUAUUUAUAUUAGUAGAUCUAUAGAAAGUAACAAGUAUGGAUGAAUGAUCAACCUAGACAUUUCUACCAUGAUGAGAUAAUGAUAGAAGGAGACAGAGAUUGCAACAAGCCCUCACCUUAGCCUAGAUCUGCGAGAUGAGAGAGUUGAUGUAGAUCUGAGUUCUACGGGUCCUUACUAACCAGAUCUACAAGAACAAGGGUUGGUUUCCACCCAAACCCUAGAUCAUAGAUCAAGAAGAAGAAAGAGAUAGGAGAGAUCUAAAAGAGAGUGUUUAGGGUUUCUUUACCCUCACUAGUUGCUGGAUCUAGAAGAAAAAGAGUAGAAGACUCAAGGAAACGACGAGAAGGAAUCGAAACACGGCGAGAUCUCCUCUUCGGUGAGAUUACACGGUCGCCGGCAGUGCUACGGUGACUCGCGGUGGCUCUGGUGGUGGUUUGGUAGCCGGCGGCUGCUCUCUCUCCAACUGGGCAGGGCUUUGCUAGGUUUUGAGUCUCUGGAGAAAAUCUUAGGGGCUGCCUCCUUUUUAUAGAAGAAGAAGGGAAAAACCCUAGGGUUUUCUCUACAUGGGCCAAAUCAUCACGGGCAUUGUCACUAAAAAUUGGGCUCGGGCCCGGGAUGUGACAGAAAGGAUAGGUGACCUAUCGGGAAGUGAUUUGCGAAACCAUGUGAGUGAGGCCAAAGCACGGAAAAAUUCAGGUGGUGAUUCCAGGGUCAGUAAACAAUGAUUUCGAGGCUUUGAAAAAAAUUACAAACUGACUAUUGAAACGGGACGGGGUCCACGGGCCAAGUGAGCAGGCGUGGGUGACCCAUUAGCCAUGGGUGGUCGGGGAAUUACAAGUGGUAUCAGAGCUGGUUAGCCAUCUCGGUUCUGACCUGAGAGGCGUCUUGAGACCUGUCGUGGGACGCAACGAGGACGUUGCAUAAUUGUAACAUCCCUAGUUGUGAUAUAUGGAAAGGCUUAAGAGAAUUGAUUUGGCUACCCAUGUUACCAGAGGUGACUUACCUUUUCCGUAACACAUCCGUUUAGAACUCCUGGGUUAAACAUACUUGGGCUGGAGUAGUGAAAUGAUGGGUGACCUAUCGGGAAGUGAUUCGCGGUACCGUGUGAGUGAGACCAAAGUACAUUGAAAGGUCAGGUGAUUGCAAGGUCAGUAAACAAUGAUUUUGAGCCUUUUAAAAAAAAUUAUGAACCAACUGUUGGAACGAGAUGGGGCCCACAUGCCGAGAGAGCGGGCGUGGAUGACCCAUUAACCAUGGGGUCGGGGUGCUAUAAGCAUAUAACUCCCGAGUAAGCCGGAUUCCGAGUGAGCGGGAUGGGCUGUCACAUAAAAAGUCGACUUUUAAUGUGACAACCCGUCCCACUCAGUAGGAUCCCAAGCUCACAGCCCUGCAGGGCACCGACCCUAACUCCUCACCGUGGGAGGAAACACCUCUACAUCCACCGGUAGGUUAUUGAUAUGAUCAAUUGGAGAUAUCUCGUCAUGUGGGAGUUUUGUUAAAUGGUGAGGUCUUGAGUUCGAGGAAUGUCGAGCGCACCAACAACCUAAUUAUGGAGUGAGAGAGAACUCAUAAUGGAGGGGUUAAGGUUGGUGUCCUGUCAGGCUGUGAGCCUGGGGUCCUAGUGAGUGGACGGGUUGUCACAAAAAGUUGACUUUUUAUCUGACAACCCGUCCCGCUGACUCGGAACCCGGCUCACAGCCUUGCUGGGCACCGAUCCUAACCCCUCACCGUGGGAGGAAACACCUCCACAUCCACCGGUAGGUUAUUUGUUCGUUUGGCGUUACUCGAACCCAAGACCUCAUCUUUUAACAACACUCCUACAUGAUGAGUUGUCACCAAUCUUUUAACAUUUCAGGAGUGCACAAAAUUUUCAUAGAAGUCUAGUUUAUGUUGGUUAUUUUAUUUCGGUUUGGAUUCUCAGUCCACAUCGAUUUGAAUAAUAGAAUAACAUUUUGAUGUUAUAAUGACUAAAACAAUUAAAUAAACAAUUAUGUUUAGCUUUCCUAAAAAUGUAUUCCGAACCUGAAUCCUUUUUCCUCCAAAAUGUCAUUUAAGUUUGGCAAAAUCUGAUAUAUUAUCAACUAUAUAAUUAUUAUCAUUGUCAGGAUCCUUAUGACCGAGUUAAAGAGACAAAUUGGCACGCCAACACAUUUUAGAUUCGAUCCACUUACUGCGGCGAAACUAGAUCACGUUAUCAUGGGGAUUUACAUGAAUAUGGACAGUCCACUUGAUUAUGAUUAUGUAGAGAGAGAUACUAUCCAUGGGGUGCAUCUAUUUUGAAAAUUACUCUAAACUUAUACAAAAGUCUGAAUAUCCUAGAUUAAUAAAAUUGAAGUACUAUCAUGGGUAAUGGCAGUACGUCGUGUUUAUAAUUUUCAUCUGUUAAAUAUGUUAUUGCAAUAUCCUAUUCCCGAAUUAUUUUUUCAUUUCUUUAACAUAUGCUUCAAAUAGGUAUUCUAAUACCCAACCAUUCUUUAUCCGCCUUCGAUCGCUACUACGUGAUUUGAUACUUAGAAUGUACAUGUUGCAAAAAAAAUAUACAUGUCUACACUCGAUAACCGUUGUUAGUGCUCAUCUCAUCCACGCAUUUCUGAUUUCUCAAGCUUCCUUUACGUUUUUCUUUUCUGAUGUCAAAAGGUCAUUUUAUUACUUAAGCUUGAGGUGGUCUGGGUAACCAGACCGGAAUAAAACAACCAAUAAAAUGUAACUCUCUGCAGAAAGAUCUAGCAGUUUUAGCUAAAAAAUCUGAAAUCUGAUUGCGCGUUCGUGGAACAUGAAUGAUGUUAAAAUCCGGGAAGCAUAUCUGUAACGUCUCUAUGCUUUCCAAUUCCAUCGCAAAUCUUGGCCAGACAUGAGGCUCCUUUAUCAUUGCAGUCAGGUCCUUACAAUCUGUCCCAAAACUCUGGCAUGUUGAAUGUUGAAGCAUGUUCUCAAUUGACAACCGCAGUGCUUCUACUUCUGAAUGCAAUGCUGAUUCGCGUCGAGUGAAGUUUCUUGUCCCCAUAAGUUGAAUGUUUCCGCCACUGUCCAUCCAGACCCAUCCACAUCCACUAAAGUGAGCAGAGGCUGUCCAAGAUCCAUCUAACAAGCAAAUAUUACCCAAGCUUAUGACUUGGGGUUCCUCAGUAUUGUUAUCUUGUACCACUGGUUGUACCACUUCGUUCGCAUCAAACCAGGCUUGACAUUCACUUUCUGCAUGUCGAACUAGCUCCAAAGGAUCUCUGUCUAUCCCCCUCAAAAUUUUGUCAUUCCUAGCCUUCCAAAUAUACCAGAUUAUCCAGGGAUAAGGAUUCAUGUCUUGUUCUGGUUCGAUAAUGUUUUUUUCCUCCAGAAUAGGUAAUCCAUAUUUGUGUGGUCGCUUGGUAGUGGAUAUAUAUAUGGGCUUAUUGGAGUUGAUGAUAAGGACCAAACUUGUAGAGCUGGUGGACAUUCGAAUAUGGCUUGGGUUACAAAUACUUCUAGUUCACCACAUCUUGGGCAGUAGUUAUCAUACCUCAUAUUGCCUCUUGCUAAGUUCCUCGUUACUGCCACAUGACCAGUUAACAAUUGCCAUAUAAGAUGACAUAUCUUUUUAGGCGCCUUUAACUUCCAAGCAAAGGCUUGAAGCUUAGUGAUACUCGGCUCCAAGACCUCCUUCUCCUCCUCUGCCUUUAAUAAAUUAUGAGCCACCCAAUAUUCAGAUUUAACCGUGUAUUGGCCACUCCUUGUAUAGUUCCAGCAGAAUGUAUCACGACGAUGAGUUGAGCUUAUGGCCAAACUCCUAAUAAGCGGUAUGUCAUCAAGAUUGAUAUAGUUCUCCAAUAGACCAACAUCCCAAUCCUUUGAUACUUGAUUAAUGAAAUCGCUAACUCUCGGAUUAGGAUGCAUAACUGGCGCUACAUGGAUAGCUGAUCUCGCAGGGGUCGUUGGGAUUCACGUAUCCUCCCACACCUUGACUUCAUAACCUGAAUGUAUCUUAUGUCUGAUUCUCAGUAAUAACAAUGGACUGCUAGCAGAGUUUACUCUGAGUGGUGAACUCAAUCUAUAAUAUCUUCCCCUCAAGACCCGGGCAACCAAAGAGUCAGAGUGAGGAAACUGAACUAGACUCCAUAACUGUUUUGCCAUUAGCGCCAGAUUGAAUCAUGGAUCAUACGAAAACUAAUAUCUCCCUCCUCUCUUGGUUAUCACAUAUCUUCAAAGGGAGCAGGAAAGUAGACAUAACGUAAGUCGGAAGAGCUGGCAGAAUGGAUUUAAUUAACACUUUCUUCCCUUCUUUUGAGAGCCAUCUACUUGUUUAUCCAUUCACUCUAUGCAUCAACGUAUCCUUGAGAAUUGCAAAAAGUUUGCACUUGGAACCAUUCUUCCUUCGUUUUGUAUUCCAAGUGCAUCUUUAAUCUCUUGUCUAAUAUUUGUAUUAGUCCACUUACUAAAGAGUAAGGACGAUUUAUAAAAGUUGAUACAUUGACCUGA